This 506-nucleotide ribosomal RNA is filed under the name uncultured bacterium. Its description in RNAcentral is "partial 16S ribosomal RNA". It matches the Rfam family "Bacterial small subunit ribosomal RNA", at positions 29 to 523 of the family's 1533-position model. The record is from RNAcentral.
AGUGAACGCUGGCGGUAGGCCUAACACAUGCACGUCGAACGGCAGCACAGGAGAGCUUGCUCUCUGGGUGGCGAGUGGCGGACGGGUGAGGAAUACAUCGGAAUCUACUUUUUCGUGGGGGAUAACGUAGGGAAACUUACGCUCAUACCGCAUACGACCUACGGGUGAAAGCAUGGGAUCUUCGGACCUUGCGCGAUUGAAUGAGCCGCUGUCGGAUUAGCUAGUUGGCGGGGUAAAGGCCCACCAAGGCGACGAUCCGUAGCUGGUCUGAGAGGGUGAUCAUCCACACUGGAACUGAGACACGGUCCAGACUCCUACGGGAGGCAGCAGUGGGGAAUAUGGGACUAUGGGCGCAAGCCUGAUCCAGCCAUACCGCGUGGGUGAAGAAGGCCUUCGGGUUGUAAAGCCCUUUUGUUGGGAAAGAAAUCCAGCUGGUUAAUACCAGGUUGGGAGGACGGUACCCAAAGAAUAAGCACCGGCUAACUUCGUGCCAGCCGCCGCCGCAG